GGCAAGGAAGGGAGGGUGGCUCUAGGACCCGUACGAGCCUUCCCGAGCAGGAGGUGGGAAUUUUCCUCCAAGGCAGCAGGAGCCCGAGCCCGGUCUCAGAGCUCCAGCGGAGCCCUCAGGAAGAGCCUGGCACGUCCCCUCCGCAGCCGCUCACCCGGGUGGGACCAGCCCGCAUCCCGCAGAGCUAUGAACCGGCUACCACAGCUGCUGCUGUGGGCCACCACAGUGGCUGUUGUCUUCUGCUCUGGAUCACAUGAAGAAAACUCUUCUUCACCAAAUCCAACUCAGAAGUUCUCCGUGAUAAAAAAUAGGAUGGUUUCUUUGCAUCAGCCUUCUACACCAGAAAUCUCUUGUGUCAUCGGCUCAAGCUGUUCAUGGGAGACGUCCACAGACAGUUUUGGAAAGCCAGACUGGGUGUUAUCUUCCAUUGGUGUCCUGGCAUCGCAGGAGAGGCAGCA
This 458-nucleotide long non-coding RNA is filed under the name Serinus canaria (Common canary). Its description in RNAcentral is "lncRNA (ENSSCAG00000001601.1)". Lineage: Eukaryota; Metazoa; Chordata; Aves; Passeriformes; Fringillidae. The record is from RNAcentral.